This 65-nucleotide transfer RNA is filed under the name Notochthamalus scabrosus. RNAcentral's name for it is "tRNA-Trp". It matches the Rfam family "tRNA". Rfam says of the family: Transfer RNA (tRNA) molecules are approximately 80 nucleotides in length. Their secondary structure includes four short double-helical elements and three loops (D, anti-codon, and T loops). The record is from RNAcentral. Lineage: Eukaryota; Metazoa; Arthropoda; Thecostraca; Balanomorpha; Chthamalidae.
AAUGUCUUAGGUUAAUAAAAACCAACAGCCUUCAAAGCUGUGAAUGGGUUCCUACCCAGACAUUA